Molecule: small nuclear RNA, 186 nt
Organism: Bufo bufo (common toad)
Lineage: Eukaryota; Metazoa; Chordata; Amphibia; Anura; Bufonidae
Product: U2 spliceosomal RNA
Exons: 1
Source: RefSeq, a predicted model, not a curated record
AUUGCAUCUCGGCCUUUUGGCUAAGAUCAAGUGUAGUAUCUGUUCUGAUCAGUCUACCUUGACUUGAUGGCUCAGGUCCUUUGGGUACCCGCUGCACUCGGCCUUUGGGCAUCGGCGAUUAAAUUUGUCUUAAGCUCAUUGCUCCUAUUGGGUGUAGGGCUAUUCCCUGAGAAAGAUAGAGUUCUG